RNAcentral lists this long non-coding RNA (345 nucleotides) under Brassica napus (rape). RNAcentral describes it as "long non-coding RNA (BNAP_LNC009456)". Lineage: Eukaryota; Viridiplantae; Streptophyta; Magnoliopsida; Brassicales; Brassicaceae. The record is from RNAcentral.
UUAUCGAUUUGUGACAUAUUUUGAACCGGCCUAAUUCGGGACCGAAGAAAUUUAUUAUUUUAUAGAGAUUUUAUAUUUAUCUAGUAUUAAUUUAUAGAGUAAUUAUUGUACUAGUUUGAUUAGUAGUACCCAUAAACUUUUAUUUUUGCGAAAUAAUCUACUUUUUAUGAAGAUAUUGUUCGGAUAAUACCACUACAAUCAUAUUUACGACCAUUUCAAAUUCCUACUAUACUACAGAUCCAUAAACAUAGCUUAAACCUAAAUACAGUUUUCAAAAAAAAAAUCAGCCUCUCUCUAAAUUACUAUCUACUCUUACAUUAUUUACAUUACCCAUGAUAUAUAUUU